CAAAGCCCCCCAGAACAUAGUUGUAUAUUCUUUGUUGUGGGUCCUUCUAGUUGUGGCGUGUGGGACGCUGCCUCAGCUUGGUUUGAUGAGCAGUGCUAUGUCCGAGCCCAGGAUUCGAACCAACUAAACACUGGGCCGCCUGCAGCUGAGCGUGUGAACUUAACCACUCGGCCACGGGGCCAGCCCCUGUUUUCUUUUAUUUUUAAACUUAGAAGGUUGUUGCCAGUCCAGAGAUUUAGUAGAGUUUUCUUCUUGUUUUUUUAAUCAUAUAAACUAUUUUAAAUGCAAAACACACACUCCCAAAGUCUGGGGAUAUACCCAUCAGCUCAAAGAAAGGCAAAGUAAUGCUGCAUUAAGAAGUUAAAGCUGGCCUCUGUUAGGAACAGCUGGACUGCGCACAUCAAUGAGAGUAUUUGAAAGGAACACCUGUGACUGUCAACGAGCUGCUGAUCAUGAAGAGUGGGGUGCCUGGGAGGAGUUGUUAGAGAACCCUUCUCCUGACUGGAAAGAUGGACUUCCCCACUGAUCUUGAGGCCUCUUCGUGUUCUCCAUGCUCUUCUUUUUUCUAAGUUUCUAGAAGAAAUUUGUAGCAACCGUGGAUUCAAGGAAUGAUGACUUAAGACCUCUCCUAAGAUUGACAGAUAGCUCUGGGUUGCAGAAUGCACAGUUCCUCAUUUUCAGAAGGAACUGAGAGAAACGAAAGAGUUAGAGACCUGGAGAAAGCUGACCGGGAGCACCCAGGAGUCUCUUCGCGUCUCCCAUAAUAAACAGAAGCAGGAUGAAGUUUACAACCUGCACAGAUGGACUGGAGCAGACCACAUAGCUGGAAUUUAGCACCCAGGGACUGGGAUAACCUCACUAGCUCUGUGUCCUUGAACAUGCCCCCACAAAGACCUCUGUAGAGACAAGACCAUAUUAGAUCAUACUUGAAUGAUAAGCAAAUAUUAAUGCCAAGGACUCACUAAGAAUAAAAUCAGACAGACACGUGAAUUUGCUGGAGAGAAUUAUAAAAUCAGAGGCUGAAGGAGAUUGGCGAUGAGGACCUCACAAUUCAAAGUUCAUUCAAGACAUCUUUGAUACAUUCCCAAACACAAGGUCAUCUGGAUGCCUGCAUCUUGGGGCUCACUAAGUAAGUAUCUUGGAACCAGAGUUUUUCUCUUUCAAUUUUGGUUCCACUAGAAUUCCUAAAAUGGCAAUUCCUAUGCUUUAGAGAGCAUGUUAAUCUCCUGGAAGUGCUUGUUGGAAAUGUAGAUGCCUGCUGACCCUGAGAAGCUCCUGGAGACGAUGCUGCUGCAGGUGGGCUGAGCCCAUUGUCUGCGUGUUACUGCCAUCACGGCGUCACACUGGUUGACAAGUGCAGGUCUUGUGCCACUCAGAAAGAAAGUCGUGUUUUCUCUCCCACUGAUCUCUCACCAAGAACUAUGAGUAAAGACUAAAUAAAAGGAACAGGUCUAAAGAAAAACAACACAGAAUAGACAAACCCCCAGUUUUAUAUGGAUGUACUUCUGAAAGGUUGUAUAUAAAUCAGAUUUCUGUGAGUUAAUCUUUACUUUCCCUUCACUUAAAUCUCAACAUGUUAUAGUCACUUUUGAUUUUCAUGUGGGAGUGACUGCCACAUUCACUUUAUUUUUCAUCUCCACGUAGCCUCCCCACCAUGAACUUAACUACCUGUGAAUGGACUAAGGAGAAUAAGCAAGAGCAUGGAGGGCCAUCUGCCUCCCGGCAGCAGAGCCCUUCCUCACUGGGGGCCCCCCUCCCACACACUGACAGCUGGGGUCUCAUCUCUCUCGGGGUCACACUGCUGUGGGUUUCCUGCAUCUGUGUGUGGGAUUUGCGUUCUGCCCAAGGCCCUGGCUCUCUCUGCGCUCUGCCCCCGCUGACUGUUCCCUGGCUGACCUGUGAAGUUGUGGCUGGAGACCCAGAAUGACCUAGCCCUUGCCUAUUCCUCAGGAUACACCACCUGUCAGACCAGUUGCCCUGGUUGGGCUGGUCUCCUGUCUGGCUCCACUCUGGGUCAGUACCAUCUACUGACAAGAGGGCCCAGAAGCCAUUCCCAGUUGGAGCUCAUGCUCAUGUGCAUGCUUGGCAGCCAGCAACUCCUACCAGUGUUUGCUACCAGAGUGGGUAAAAUACACGCUCACAAAGAAAGACAGACAACCAAAAAGAUUUUGUCCCCCAACAAUGGUCUCCCCUGAGAUGCUCUAUCUCUUCUUCCUCCUACCUCUCUGCCCUCAAACCCCACAAAUAUGUCUGUCUUGUCCACGCAAAACCCACUGGAUCCUAUUCUCCUAUUUUUUUACUUGUCUGUCACAAAAUUCUGGGAAACAAAGAAUAAACCAGAUGUGACAGAAAUGAGAGAAGCUUGCAGGGAAACAGCCCAAUAAUAAGUGGAGAUUGCCACUGACUUCUAUGUCCUGAAGGGGCAGCCGUCUAGACGCAGUGUUCCCACGACUUUUGAGAUAUAUAUAUAUAUAUAUAUCUUGAGAUAUAUAUAUAUAUACUUUGUGUGUGUGAGUGUGUGAGGA
Equus caballus (horse) is the source of this 2525-nucleotide long non-coding RNA. NCBI's taxonomy places the organism in Eukaryota, Metazoa, Chordata, Mammalia, Perissodactyla, Equidae. The record is from Ensembl.